RNAcentral lists this transfer RNA (86 nucleotides) under Caldiserica bacterium CG_4_8_14_3_um_filter_35_18. RNAcentral's name for it is "tRNA-Tyr". It matches the Rfam family "tRNA". Rfam says of the family: Transfer RNA (tRNA) molecules are approximately 80 nucleotides in length. Their secondary structure includes four short double-helical elements and three loops (D, anti-codon, and T loops). Further hydrogen bonds mediate the characteristic L-shaped molecular structure. tRNAs have two regions of fundamental functional importance: the anti-codon, which is responsible for specific mRNA codon recognition, and the 3' end, to which the tRNAs corresponding amino acid is attached (by aminoacyl-tRNA synthetases). tRNAs cope with the degeneracy of the genetic code in two manners: having more than one tRNA (with a specific anti-codon) for a particular amino acid; and 'wobble' base-pairing, i.e. permitting non-standard base-pairing at the 3rd anti-codon position. RNAcentral also lists the same sequence under 1 other name. The record is from RNAcentral. Lineage: Bacteria; Pseudomonadati; Caldisericota.
GGGCAGGUGGCCGAGUGGUUAAAGGCGACAGACUGUAAAUCUGUUGGUGUAAGCCUACGGGGGUUCGAAUCCCUCCCUGCCCACCA